UUCAAGCGCAGCUACCAUGCAGUCGAGCGGAACAAGAGGUGCUUGCACCUCUGGCGUCGAGCGGCGGACGGGUGAGUAAUGCUUGGGAAUAUGCCUUAUGGUGGGGGACAACAGUUGGAAACGACUGCUAAUACCGCAUGAUGUCUACGGACCAAAGUGGGGGACCUUCGGGCCUCACGCCAUAAGAUUAGCCCAAGUGGGAUUAGCUAGUUGGUGAGGUAAUGGCUCACCAAGGCGACGAUCCCUAGCUGGUUUGAGAGGAUGAUCAGCCACACUGGGACUGAGACACGGCCCAGACUCCUACGGGAGGCAGCAGUGGGGAAUAUUGCACAAUGGGCGCAAGCCUGAUGCAGCCAUGCCGCGUGUGUGAAGAAGGCCUUCGGGUUGUAAAGCACUUUCAGUAAGGAGGAAAGGUUAAGUGUUAAUAGCACUUAGCUGUGACGUUACUUACAGAAGAAGCACCGGCUAACUCCGUGCCAGCAGCCGCGGUAAUACGGAGGGUGCGAGCGUUAAUCGGAAUUACUGGGCGUAAAGCGUACGCAGGCGGUUUGUUAAGCGAGAUGUGAAAGCCCCGGGCUCAACCUGGGAACUGCAUUUCGAACUGGCAAACUAGAGUGUGAUAGAGGGUGGUAGAAUUUCAGGUGUAGCGGUGAAAUGCGUAGAGAUCUGAAGGAAUACCGAUGGCGAACGCAGCCACCUGGGUCAACACUGACGCUCAUGUACGAAAGCGUGGGGAGCAAACAGGACUAGAUACCC
RNAcentral lists this ribosomal RNA (756 nucleotides) under Pseudoalteromonas sp. Its description in RNAcentral is "bacterial SSU rRNA". It matches the Rfam family "Bacterial small subunit ribosomal RNA", at positions 37 to 787 of the family's 1533-position model. Lineage: Bacteria; Pseudomonadati; Pseudomonadota; Gammaproteobacteria; Alteromonadales; Pseudoalteromonadaceae. The record is from RNAcentral.